ACGGGUGAGUAACACGUGGGUAACCUGCCCAUCAGAAGGGGAUAACACUUGGAAACAGGUGCUAAUACCGUAUAACACUAUUUUCCGCAUGGAAGAAAGUUGAAAGGCGCUUUUGCGUCACUGAUGGAUGGACCCGCGGUGCAUUAGCUAGUUGGUGAGGUAACGGCUCACCAAGGCAACGAUGCAUAGCCGACCUGAGAGGGUGAUCGGCCACACUGGGACUGAGACACGGCCCAGACUCCUACGGGAGGCAGCAGUAGGGAAUCUUCGGCAAUGGACGAAAGUCUGACCGAGCAACGCCGCGUGAGUGAAGAAGGUUUUCGGAUCGUAAAACUCUGUUGUUAGAGAAGAACAAGGAUGAGAGUAAAAUGUUCAUCCCUUGACGGUAUCUAACCAGAGAGCCACGGCUAACUACGUGCCAGCAGCCGCGGUAAUACGUAGGUGGCAAGCGUUGUCCGGAUUUAUUGGGCGUAAAGCGAGCGCAGGCGGUUUCUUAAGUCUGAUGUGAAAGCCCCCGGCUCAACCGGGGAGGGUCAUUGGAAACUGGGAGACUUGAGUGCAGAAGAGGAGAGUGGAAUUCCAUGUGUAGCGGUGAAAUGCGUAGAUAUAUGGAGGAACACCAGUGGCGAAGGCGGCUCUCUGGUCUGUAACUGACGCUGAGGCUCGAAAGCGUGGGGAGCGAACAGGAUUAGAUACCCUGGUAGUCCACGCCGUAAACGAUGAGUGCUAAGUGUUGGAGGGUUUCCGCCCUUCAGUGCUGCAGCAAACGCAUUAAGCACUCCGCCUGGGGAGUACGACCGCAAGGUUGAAACUCAAAGGAAUUGACGGGGGCCCGCACAAGCGGUGGAGCAUGUGGUUUAAUUCGAAGCAACGCGAAGAACCUUACCAGGUCUUGACAUCCUUUGACCACUCUAGAGAUAGAGCUUCCCCUUCGGGGGCAAAGUGACAGGUGGUGCAUGGUUGUCCUCCACCUCGG
RNAcentral lists this ribosomal RNA (976 nucleotides) under Enterococcus casseliflavus. Its description in RNAcentral is "bacterial SSU rRNA". It matches the Rfam family "Bacterial small subunit ribosomal RNA", at positions 102 to 1063 of the family's 1533-position model. Lineage: Bacteria; Bacillati; Bacillota; Bacilli; Lactobacillales; Enterococcaceae. The record is from RNAcentral.